RNAcentral lists this long non-coding RNA (11845 nucleotides) under Zea mays. RNAcentral describes it as "long non-coding RNA (ZMAY_LNC005296)". Lineage: Eukaryota; Viridiplantae; Streptophyta; Magnoliopsida; Poales; Poaceae. The record is from RNAcentral.
AGCUCCAUCGUUGUCCCUGAGUCUGAAUCACAAUAGAAGUCUGCCGUAGCCGCCGGGAUUCUGGGUCACACCCCAUCUCAUCUCAAUCGGACUCCCUCUUGUCGCACCCUGGCUAUAGGGUAUAAAGAUCAACCUUCACCAAACCGUAGUGCCAUCGUCGUCGCGUCGAAGCAGAGGGUGAGGGAGCCGUCGCAUGGCGUGCGUAGGCUGCCGCCACCAAGGAAACGCGCGAACAUCGUCCUUCAAGAACCAACCAAAGAAAAGCUACACCAAGACGCAACAAAAGGUGACCGCUGCACCCGUACGAUGAAAGGGCCCGUGGUGACCACUGGAUUUCUCGCAGGAGCAAUUAAACCACCCGGAACCGCCAUCCUCGUCUCCAAGGUCCUGCGAGGCACGAUAACUGGUAAGUUGUUUGGGAAUUUCUCUAUUGUACCUCCAUCUCACGUAUCAGUAGUUUCGGUGAGGAAUGGGUGCCGUCGUGUCGGGAUAACUAUCUCCGGCGAGGGCGCCACCGCGGGACUCUAAACACCGCCGCGGCUCGGGUUGGUGGAGAAGUGCUAGAAGCCGUUGGAUGGGGAGUGAGCGGAUAGGAUUAGAACGGGGUGUCCCCUUGGCCACAUUAAAUCACCACCACACGAUUGAAGAUCUACGGCCGGGUUCAGAUCUGGCGUGGGUGUAAUACCCAACUUGUGGAUAAUAAAAGAGAAGAAUCAAUCUCCAUAUGUGCAUUGUCAUCUAUCCAUUAGAACUUAUGAAUGGUCAUGUUUAAAGUGGAUAAGUCGACUAAGGAAACAUAAAUAAUCCAUGCAUCAUGUUGGAGGUUAUUUGUUUGUGCACUUAAUAAUAAUAAUAUAUUAAUAAUGAAGUUAGGGAUUACCCUAAAUUGGGAUCUAGAAUUUGAAAAUGAGAUAGAAAAAGAAAGAGAAGCAAAAGAAAAGGAUAUGCACAAAACAAAUAUAUAUAUAUAUAUAUAUAUAUAUAUAUAUAUAUAUAUAUAUAUAUUCAUGAUGAUACUUCUAUUUGUGCACUUAAUAUGUGCAAGAAACUCGCCAACAAAAAUUUAAAUUCAAAUAUCAAAAUUUGGAAAUUUAGAAGGAAAUACAAAACAGGAAUAAUAAAAGAAAAACAUAAAACGCCGACCUCGGCCCAAGACUUCGCUCCGGCCCAACACAACACCUACCCUCGCGGCCUAGCCUAUAUGAGACGUUGACAUGUGGGGCCUACGCGGACGGUCGCCCUCGCAUCUGCUGCCCUCGCUGACACCUGGGGCCACGCGGUCAGAGUCCACCGCGCGCACCCUAUGCACUGCAGAGUGGGACCCACUCGUCAACUAUCGAUUCAGCUCGUGUCGUCCGGUGGAAGUAGUGCUGGUCGCUUACGAGUGGACCCUUCUUGUCCGGAUCGUCCCCAACUUGCGGACGAGUUGUUCCAACCACCUUGCAUUGUGCUACCGGGGAAAUCGAGUCGGCCUCCUCCGUGCUCGGGGUUAAAAGCCGGGACCCUUGGACUCGACUCGCGCAUCCCCCUUGACCAUCCCAUCUCCCGCUCCCUCCACUGUAAGACCCCUCGGCCAUGAGGCGAUCUGGGAGUCAAUCCACCACUAGAAAUCAACGCCUCCUUCCCUUAUCCAUUGGUGUGGAGUACCCUGGGUGACCGAGGCGACUCGGCGGACAUCACGGGAAGGGCUCGGUGGCUACGUGAGGUCUGUGCGUGCGGAAUUGCUCGCCGGGGUUGCGAAAUCACCGUCGUGCUGCAAGACGUCAGCAUUGGACCUCUGCACCACGCAAUCCUUUGGCAAGAAGUCCUUGCUGAGCGCACUAGAUCACUAGCUACGUUCGACACCUCUCGGUAUGGUGUUUGGGCCACUGUCGCGUUGAUUUAGUUGACGCCGGUAAUGGCGCCGCCGUCAUGCGGGGGGACCACCGCUCUGGCCAUCGGUGGCGAUGGGUGGCGGUUUCUAACCGCCAAUUACCGCGCGGAUGACUGAGAUUAGCGGUCGGGUACCAAUUUGGGGGGGUUGAAUCGUGACCGUCGUGAUCUGAUCUAUCGGCUCGGGUGCGAGCUGUGCGUGGACGAGGCUGAGCCAUGGAUCUUAGGCGACUUUUGCGUGGAGUGUCUUUUAAAUAAAAUACUUCGAUUAACGCACUUGUUGUGAUAUUCCGGCUGCACCCUUAGGUGACUUUUGCGCGGAGUGUCUUUUAAAUAAAAGACUUCGAUUAACGCACUUGUUGUGCUAUUCCGGCUGCACCCUUAGGCGACUUUUGCGCAGAGUGUCUUUUAAAUAAAAGACUUCGAUUAACGCACUUGUUGUGCUAUUCCGGCUGCACCCUUAGGCGACUUUUGCGUGGAGUGUCUUUUAAAUAAAAGACUUCGAUUAACACACUUGUUGUGCUAUUCCGAGUGCACCAUUAGGCGACUUUUGCGUGGAGUGUCGCACGCGAGGGUAGUCUGCGCUGCCUCUCGCGGUGACUUCAGAGUGGUCGAAUGCCGAAGACCGUCGAUGCGGUCUUUUUCGACAUGUUGCAUCUUAGUUUUUGCGGGGGAUUUUUACAGGUAUAUUACAUGGCUCCGCCUCGUUAAAAACCUCACCCCCUGGGAGGAAAAGAGUGCGGGCCAGAAUAAUAUUGUUUUGUGAAUUACAAGGGCGCGUGGGCCCUGAGGAUUUAAACAAAAAAUUUGCGGAGAUUGUCAAUAUUCCAGGAAUGCUCUAGGUCUUCGCCGAAUGGCGUUGUUAGCCUGUACGUGCUGGGGGACGUCUUCGACUUGACGAUGAAUGGACCCCCCACUUUGGCUCCAAGUUGCCCCGUGACUCUGUCCGGUUGUUUCGGACGAGUAUGAGGUCUCCUUCGUUGAAUUCUCUUGGGACGACUGCGUAGUCACGCCAUGCCUUCGUUUGAGCUUGGUAUUUGUUGAGCACCUGCAGGGCGAAGACGCGGUAUCCGUCGAUGAGGUCUUUGGACGUUGGUUCGUCUAUGUCGGGGACGACUGAUGCGCUUUUUCGAGGUGACCCAUGCUUUAUUUCCUGCGGGGUCAUGGCCUCUGAUCCAUAUAGUAGAUGGAAAGGAGUGAAUCCAGUUGCCCGGCAUUCGGUCAUGUUUAGUGCCCAGACUACUUCAGGUAGCUGGUCGGCCCAUUUACCCUUCCUGUCGUCGAGAAGCCUUUUCUUGAUAGCAGUGAAAACCUUGCCGUUGGCGCGCUCGACGACGCCGUUAGAUUGCAAGUGGUAUACCGAGGCAAAGGCAAGCUUGGUGCCGAUGGAGAAGCAGAAGUCCUGAAGUCCUGGCUGUCAGACUGUUUGCCAUUGUCGACUGUGAGCUCGGACGGGAAUCCGAAUCGGCAAACAAUGUUUUGCCAGAAGAACUUUUGGGAAGUCUUCGAUGUUAUUGUGGAUACUACCCUUGCCUCGAUCCACUUAGUAAAAUAUUCGAUGGCGACAAAGGUGAACUUGAGGUUCCCUUGAGCCGUGGGUAGUGGCCCGACAAUAUCCAGCCCCCAGCGUUGAAGUGGCCAUGUGUGGGCAAUCAGCUUGGUGAACUGUGAAGGGUUGCCUGAGCGAGGAGAAAACUUCUGGCAGGCUUUGCACGACCUCGUGACUCGAUUCACGGCGCAGAUUAUAGCGGGCCAGUAGAACCCUUGACGGAUCACCUUGGCAGCAAGGGCCCUAGGCCCUGAGUGAGAGCCACAAGUUCCGCUAUGGACUUCGCGCAGGAUCUGGAUGCCUUCGGUUUCGGUGACGCAUUUAAGCAUGGGUUGACUGACCCCCUUCUUGUAUAGCUAGCCCUCAAUAAGUGCGAAGUCCCGGCUUUGGUGCUUGAGGCGCUUGGCCUCGUUGACGUCACUUGGGUGGUAAUAUCCUUGCAGGAACAGGGUUAUUGGGGCCCGCCAAUCUUCAGUCAUGAUGAGGUUGACGAUGCGAUGGCCCUCGGCGUCGUUGGUUAUUUGUAGACCCUCUGGAUUGCGGAUGGCUGGUGUGCCAAUGACAUGGUAGAACACGUCGGAGGGAAAGGCUUCGCCUCUGGCCGCUGCUUUGGCCAAUGCAUCGGCCUCUUUGUUCCUGGCACGGUCCACAUGCUGCAAGGUGAAACCCUUGAAUUGUCUCUCAAGACUGCGUACGGCCGUAAGAUACUGCAUGAGUGCGUGGUCUUUUGCUGAAUAUUCUUUUUCGACCUGGCCAACAACAAUUUUGGAGUCUGUCUUGACUAUGCAGGUGGUGACGCCGAGUGCUUUCAGCUUGCGAAGGCCCAGGAUGAUGGCUUCGUACUCCGCUAUGUUGUUGGUGCACCUGUCGGACUCAAGAGCGAAGCUAAGGCGUGCUGCGUAUCUGUGCUUGAUGACGGUGGGUGAUGUGAUAAUUGCAGUCGCGCCUGCCCCCGCAUGGCACCAUGCACCGUCACAGUGGAUGGUCCACACCUUCUCUAAGGGCUCUUCUUGUUGCCGUGUCGGCCCUGUCCAGUCGACGAUGAAGUCUACGAGGACUUGCGACUUGAUUGCUGUCCUGGGCUCGAAGGUGAUAUGGUACCUGGAGAGUUUGGCUGCCCAUUUGGCGAUUCGGACGAACGCCUUCGGGUUUCUGAAUAAUUUGCCCAGUCCCCUGUCCGAGGUGACCCGCACCUUAAAUGCCUCGAAAUAGUGUCGCAACUUGCGCGAUGCCAUGACGACUGCGUAGGAAUUUUUUUCUAAUUCCUUCAUGUUGCAUUUGGAAGUUGUCAGGACUUCGGAGACAUAGUAGACUGGACACUACCGGGUCGUGCCCUCUCUAUCUUGCUCUUGGACCAACGCUGCGCUGACUGCAUGUGUCGAGGCUGCGACGUAGAGCAGUAGAGGCAGCGAGGAGUCGGGACUGGUAAGAAUUUCCAAUUCUGACAGGUGCUGCUUGAGUGAUGCGUAGGCUACCGCUUGUUCUGGUCCCCAUGCGAAGUCUUUUGCGCCAUGCAGUGCCUUGAGGAAAGGUAGACUCCGCUCUGCAGACUUGGAGAUGAAUCUGUUCAGAGCGGCUAAUCUGCCUGUCAGACGCUGGACGUCCCUGGUUGACUGCGGGGGUGUCAUGUUAGUGAUUGCUUGAAUCUUGGUCGGGUUGGCCUCAAUCCCGCGGUGCGACACCAGGUAGCCCAGUAUCUUCCCCUGGCGAACUCCGAAGGCGCACUUCUCGGGGUUCAGGCGAAGUCGUGCGUCCCGCAUAUUUGCGAAUGUCUCUGCGAGGUCGGCCAGGUGAUCCUCUUUAUUUUUGCUGGCGACGACGAUGUCGUCCACAUACAUGAAAAUGUUCCGGCCUACUUGGCUCUCGAGCACCGUCUUGGUGAGGCAAGAGAAGGUUGACCCAGCGUUCUUGAGUCCCUCCGGCAUCCUGAUGAAGCAGUAUGUGCCGAAGAGUGUGAUGAAACUGGUACUGGCCUUGUCUUCCUCCUUCAUGUAUAUUUGGUGGUAGCCGGAGAAGCAGUCCAGAAGUGACAUGACUUCGCUUCCGGCUGCACUAUCGACUAUCUUGUCGAUCCGUGGCCGCGGGAAAUUAUCCUUGGGGCAGGCCUUGUUGAGGCUGGUGAAAUCGAUGCACAUCCGCCACUUGUCGCUUUUCUUUUGCACCAUGACUAUGUUGGCGAGCCACAUAGGGUAGGCGACUGGUUUUAUGAAAUUGGCCUCCAGCAGGCGGUGUACUUCGGCUUUUGCGGCUUCUGUUUUUUCAUCGGACAUUUUGCGCAACCGCUGCUUCUUUGGGCGCACCGAAGGGUCGAUGCCCAGACUGUGCUCGAUGAUGAUGCGACUGACUCCGACCAGGUCGAGGGCAGACCAGGCGAAGACGUCCUUAUUUCUGGAGAGACAGGAGAUGAGUUUCUCCUCGUCUUGCAAAGUCAGGUCUUCGCUUAUAAUGACUGUUUGCUUGGGCAUCGCCGGGUCGAGGGGAACUAUCUUCGUUCCAUCGUUGCUCUGCAGCUGUGCCUUCUCAUGUUCGUUGGCGGUUGGGCGGGUAGCUUCGGAGACUUCGCGCUGCGUCGUAAGGUAGUGUAUGUUCCGUUGACCUGGAACGAAGUCUAUCUCAAUGUUACGCGCAGUCUGCUGGUUACCGUAAACUGUUAUUACGCCUUGCGGACACAGAAUUUUCAUGCAGAGGUAUAAUCCGUGAAUGGCCGCUUUAAAUUUAUUGAUAGAGCCCCGAUCCAUUAUGGCGUUGUAGGGAUAGACCAUGUCGACGAUGUCAAAGGUGAUCUGUUCGCUUCGCGCAUUGGGUGCUACACCGAAGGACAGGGACAACUUUAUCUUGCCCACAGGGAAGGUGCCCUUGCCGCCAAAGCCAUAUAGGGGAUUGUCCGAAGGCUUGAGUAAGUUGUGGCUGAUGCCCAUGUGGUCGAAGGCGUGGAGGAAGAUAAUUCCCGUUUGGCUGCCGUUGUCAACGAGGACUUUGUGCAUGUCCUAGCCUUCUACACUGCAGUUGAUUACUAUGGCGUCGAUGUGCGGUGCGCUGCGCAGAUCAACAUCUCUGGUGUCAAAGGUUAGUGGCACAUGUGACCACUUCGUUUGCACAACUAGGACGGUGAUGGCGACGUGGUUGACGCUUCGGUAGUGAUCCCUCUUUUGUGACUUCGUGUCGAAGUCGACGCUGGACCCUCCGGUGAUCAUGUGAAUGACUCCGCGAUGCGGCUGAUCGGCGAAGUCUUCUUGUUUUGGUGCUUGGGGUGAUUUUGGUGGUGUAGGUUUGGUUGAUGCGGAGGCGGGAGUGGGGGUGGUACGACUUGUACCUCCUGGUGGUGCUGAUAUGAGUGGUUGGGUAGAUGCUGGGUGUGGUCGUGGUUGUAUGGUUGUGGGUGGUGGUGUUGAUAUGUGUGCGCGACAACUCUUUGGUUGUCGGCGGGUUGUGCCCGAGACAUCCUGUCCCUGGUGGCCUUCGUUUCCGGGCAAUCCCUCGUUGGGUGCGUGCAGUCUUCGCCGUGAAACAUGCAGUAAUAUCUGCGCGGUUGCUGCGCCCGUCCCCGGCCUCGGCCACGCGUGCCAUUGCCACGGCCCUGGGGGGAUAAUCUUGACAGGGAGCGUCCUCCCCGGUGGGGUGCUGGUUGGCUAUGUUAUGCACCUGCUGCUGACUGCAGUUGUCCCGACCGGAGUCUGACUCCGAAGGCCUUGUCCAGGUUCGGCUGGACUGCGGAGGGUCCUUGGGCUUUCUCUGAGACUCGACCUUGCGCUGAUGGAGCUCUUCGGAUCUGGCGUACUUCUCAAACAACUGAUAGAGCUCUUGGAUGUUUUUUGGUGUGUCCCUGAUGCAGUGACUGUAUAGGAUGCCAGCCCGAAGGCCACUGAUGGCAUAGUGUAUGGCAAUUUGGUCGUCGACCGAAGGCAGUUGUGACUUGAGAGUCAGGAACUUGCGGUAGUACUCCCGUAGGGUUUUCUUCUCUUGUUGUUUGCAGAGCGACAGCUCAGCCAAGGCAUCGGUGUCUGGGCGGUACCCUUGGAAGUUAAGAAGAAACUUGUCUCGGAGACUUGUCCAGGAGUCGAUGGACAAUGGGGGCAACCUGGUGUACCAGGUUAGGGCCGGACCCUCGAGGGCGAUGAUGAAGGACUUGGCCAUUGUGGCGUCGUCCCCUCCGGAUGAUGCAACGACGACUUGAUAGCUCAUGAUGUAUUGUGAUGGGUCGGUGCUGCCGUUGUAUUUAGGGUAGGUCCCUGCCCUGAAGUUGGCGGGCCAUGGUGACACUUGGAGUUGUGGCGCCAGGGGGCUUCGCUCAUCGAGGUAGUUGAUGCCUUGGAAAGCUGCUACGUGCGGGAUGAAGGGUCCGCGCUGAGGAAUGAAUAAGUCUCCAGCUGGCGCACGCUGUUGGAGGGGGGCUGUUCUGCAGAUCGUGUUGGCCUUCGCGCUGCAUGAGCGCAAUCUCUUGCUCGAGUUCUCGAGCCCUCUGCUCCUCAUCUCGUAUCAUCUGGCGCACCUUGGCUUGCGCGGAGACACGUUGGCGCUGGGCCUCGAGGAUUUCUUUCUGCUUUUGGAGGUUGCGGUUCUUGAUGCGCAGGGCCCGUAGCUGUAGCUGUUCUCCUACUGAGAUGCCGAUGACUUCGCCGUCCUCUGUUGCGUCCUCGCCCUCUAGUGGAGCGAAGCCUGGGGGCGGUUCUUGUGGUUGUCCUCCAGAGCUGCAGGUGUGGAGGGUGCCUUCGGGAGUGGGUUGAUCAUUGCACUGUCUCUUGCUGAGUGCGUCGUCUUCGCAGGCUUCUUGGUGGGUGUUGUUUGCGAGGGCCUUGCCCUUUUUCUCGGCUAGCAGUGCUGCCUUCGCUGCUUCGUUGAUGGAUGGGGCUGUCUUCGAGCUAGCUCUCUUGGGUGCCAUCAUGGGUGGUUUGUUCGUAGCACGAACGGUUGGCGCCAAAUGUUGGAACUUGCUCUCCUGGGCAAGUAGAUCCAACGGGGGAGUGGAAAAAGUGAAAGCAAGGUUUAACUCGAGAUGGCAAUUGCUCUGUUAAUCCAGCAUCUCAAGGGCACUGUACGGGGGUAUUUAUAGGUGUCCGAGUGCCCAACAUCCCGAUGUAAGGACGUUUAUGCCCUCAGGCACCUGGACUAUCCCCAGAAUAUUCCCAUAAGGGAGGGUUACAGACUGUCAUUACAGAAAAGCUAUUACAAAUCGGGUCUGUAACACGCUUCUCCGUGCGGGGCCUGUUACAAUGGGCCGAAUCCCACGUGGGCCUCCAGGUUGGGUGAGGACAUGGAUUGAGAGAGACUUCGUCGUAGGCCUUCGUCUUGCAGAGAGGAGGACGAAGGGUGGGACGCGCCGGUCAUCUUGCCUCUGUUGGUGCAGCGAGGUGACGAAGGCCUGGAGCGAAGGGUAGCAUCUUCUUCUUUGCCCCAACACACACCCUAUGCACUGCAGAGUGGGACCCACUCGUCAACUACCGAUUCUGCUCGUGUCGUCUAGUGGAAGUAGUGCUGGUCGCUUACGAGUGGACCCUUCUUGUCCGGAUCGUCCCCAACUUGCGGACGAGUUGUUCCAACCACCUUGCGUUGUGCUACCGGGGAAAUCGAGUCGGCCUCCUCCGUGCUCGGGGUUAAAAGCCGGGACCCUUGGGCUCGACUCGCGCAUCCCCCUUGACCAUCCCAUCUCCCGCUCCUUCCGCCGUAGGACCCCUCGGCCAUGAGGCGAUCUGGGAGUCAACCCACCGCUAGAAAUCAACGCCUCCUUCCCUUAUCCAUUGAUGUGGAGUACCCUGGGUGACCGAGGCGACUCGGUGGACAUCACGGGAAGGGCUCGGUGGCUACGUGAGGUCUGUGCGUGCGGAAUUGCUCGCCGGGGUUGGGAAAUCACCGCAGUGCCGCAAGAUGUCGGCAUUGGACCUCUGCACAACGCGAUCCUUUGACAAGAAGUCCUUGCUGAGCGCACUAGAUCCCUAGCUACGUUCUACACCUCUCGAUAUGGUGUUUGGGCCACUAUCGCGUUGAUUUAGUUGACGCCGGUAAUGGCAUCGCCGUCAUGCAGGGGCACCACCGCUCUGGCCACCGGUGGCGAUGGGUGGUGGUUUCUGACCGCCAAUUACCGCGCGGAUGACUAAGAUUAGCGGUCGGGUACUGAUUUGGGGGGGGGUGAAUCGUGACCGUCGUGAUCCGAUCUAUCGGCUCAGGUGCGAGUUGUGCGUGGACGAGGCUGAGCCAUGGAUCUCGGGUCCAGCGGUUGUCAGCGCGUACCACUUCGUUGUGCGUCCAAUCUAAUUUGAUCCAUUGGAUUAGAUCGGAUGAUCCAUAUUAGAAGUAGCCCUUGACCGAUGCCAUUUUGCUAAAGUGGCCCUAUAAUUUUAGGUUAUGAACCAGUGGUCCCGAAUUGUGUGAAGAAUCUCACUUUGAGGUCCAUGAUUUUUAUGAAACAAACCCUAAAAUUCUCAAAAAUAAUGUGCGCAGUCCAGAAACCUAAAAAUUAGCUAAAUUAAUAUAGAAAAUGAUUUUCUAGUAUAAAAAUAAUUCUAAAACUUGUUUAAUUCAUAGAGAAUCCAAUUUAAUUCCGUUUUGAUCCAUUCCAGUUGCAUUAAUUUUGUUUUAAUAUUGUUUAUCAUCUGGUAACUCUAUUCCAUCAUGAAACAUAGAGUAAAAUGAUACACUUAAUUUAUCCUAUAUUAAGCAUUUAAAACUUCGAAAAAUCAUAACUUUUUAACCGUAACUCCAAAUUUAGUGAUUCUCAAACCUACGAUCUCGUUUCAAUCCGAAUUUAGUGACGUCUGUGCGUGCGGAAUUGCUCACCGGGGUUGGGAAAUCACCGCCGUGCCGCAAGACGUCGGCAUUGGACCUCUGCGCCACGAUCCUUUGACCAAUGCCAUUUUGCUAAAGUGACCCUAUAAUUUUAGGUUAUGAACCCACAGUCCCGACCUAUGUGAAGAAUCUCACUUUGGGGUCCAUGAUUUUUACAAUACAAACCCUAAAAUUUUCAAAAAUAAUGUGCGCAGUCCAGAAACCUAAUAAAUUAGGUAAAUUAAUAUAGAAAAUGAUUUUCUAGUAUAAAAAUAAUUCUAAAACUUGUUUAAUUCAUAGAAAAUCCAUUUUAAUUUCUUUUUGAUCCAUUCUAGUUGCAUUAAUUUUGUUUUAAUAUUGUUUAUCAUCUAGUAACUCAAUUGCAUCAUGAAACAUGGAGUAAAAUGAUACACUUAAUUUAUCCUAUAUUAAGCAUUUAAAACUUCAGAAAAUCAUAACUCUUUAACCAUAACUCCGAAUUUAGUGAUUCUCGAACCUACGAUCUCAUUUCAAUGCGAGAAUAUUAUUAUGCAGUAUGUUCUCAUGUUUGGUGUGAUGUUAAUUUCUCCUGUACCAUGUUUUCUUGUAUUGUUGCGAAUAGAUGGGCAAGUGACUGAGGACCCAGGAACUCAGUAGGUGGAAAAUACUGAGCAAGAGCUCGUUGAAGGAAAGUUGUGCCCUUGAUCACUUCUAUUUACCCAAUAAUGUUCUUGUUAAUCAUUAUGAUCUGCAUAGGUUAAUUUUGAUGGGACCCAAUAGGUCACCCCAGUUUGGCUAUCUUUAUACCUUGUUUACCACUGAACUUUUGGGUAGUACCUGCUAUUGCUUUAUGUGGUUUUGGGUGUUAAGAUACACAUUAUUCAUAAGCAUGCUUUUUUAUCAAUUUGUUAUUUACUGUUCAUGACAAGAUCAUUAUGUUAAUUGGAACAUGGAGCGACCACCCGGGAAAACAGUGCUACCACAAGGGUGGUAUGGGACGCCCUUGGCUGACUAAUUAGGAAAGCUAGUGGAGGACUAACUUACCCGAAAGGGGCAAGGGCAGUAGGCGAGUGGUCGGUAUAGGGAGGUUCUCGGGUUGAUUUUGUUGCGAUGGCUUUUCAAACGGGAAUUCCUAUGCUCCGCUCCCUAGAAACUGUAGCGGGUUUUCUGAAGCUAGUGGAACUUUGUAAAGGCCUCAUAGUGUUACCCUGCCUCGCUUCCUUGGUAGAGGUGUAUGGGAUUCAUGACCCCUUGAUAGAUGGGUAACAUGACUUGUGGGUAAAGAUGUGCAACCUGUGCAGAGUGUAAAACUGGAAUACCAGUCGUGCUCACAGUCAUGAGCGGCUCGGGCCCUUACAUGAGUAACUUAUGAAAUUAAAUUUAACUGGUCAUUUGCAUCGCAAUGUGGUUUAUUAUUAAUUUUGAUCUAUUAUUACUCUAGUUUGGUAUAUACUUACAUGUAGUAACUACUAAUAUAAUUUGACCAACUUAUUAAAAGCAAUGCUUAGCUUUAAUCAUUGUUUGUUGAUCAGCCUUACACUUCACAUGAACUCCCACCUUUGGUGAGUUCAUGCACAUUAUUCCCCACAACUUGUUGAGCUAUGAUCUUUUGUGAGCUCACUCUUGCGAUAUAUAACCCCCCCACAGGAGAAGAACAUGUGGUCCAGGAGGAGGCCUACAACAAAG